This 39-nucleotide non-coding RNA is filed under the name Spodoptera frugiperda (fall armyworm). The record is from RNAcentral. Lineage: Eukaryota; Metazoa; Arthropoda; Insecta; Lepidoptera; Noctuidae.
UAUUAGGAUUCCCCAAGUUGGGAAGCAACCGCGAAAGCG